This 67-nucleotide transfer RNA is filed under the name Hydatophylax nigrovittatus. RNAcentral's name for it is "tRNA-Asp". The record is from RNAcentral. Lineage: Eukaryota; Metazoa; Arthropoda; Insecta; Trichoptera; Limnephilidae.
AAAAAGUUAGUUAAAUUCAUAACCUAAACUUGUCAAGUUUAAAUUAUUAUCUAAAUAAUACUUUUUU